GAGUGAACGCUGGCGGUAGGCCUAACACAUGCAAGUCGAACGGCAGCACAGUAAGAGCUUGCUCUUACGGGUGGCGAGUGGCGGACGGGUGAGGAAUACAUCGGAAUCUACUUUUUCGUGGGGGAUAACGUAGGGAAACUUACGCUAAUACCGCAUACGACCUACGGGUGAAAGCAGGGGAUCUUCGGACCUUGCGCGAUUGAAUGAGCCGAUGUCGGAUUAGCUAGUUGGCGGGGUAAAGGCCCACCAAGGCGACGAUCCGUAGCUGGUCUGAGAGGAUGAUCAGCCACACUGGAACUGAGACACGGUCCAGACUCCUACGGGAGGCAGCAGUGGGGAAUAUUGGACAAUGGGCGCAAGCCUGAUCCAGCCAUAUCGCGUGGGUGAAGAAGGCCUUCGGGUUGUAAAGCCCUUUUGUUGGGAAAGAAAAGCAGCAGGUUAAUACCCCGCUGUUCUGACGGUACCCAAAGAAUAAGCACCGGCUAACUUCGUG
This 493-nucleotide ribosomal RNA is filed under the name uncultured bacterium. RNAcentral's name for it is "partial 16S ribosomal RNA". It matches the Rfam family "Bacterial small subunit ribosomal RNA", at positions 27 to 507 of the family's 1533-position model. The record is from RNAcentral.